GGAAGAGGGGGCUUGAAGGUGGGUGAGCCCCAAAUGUGACCUUCAACUCCUGGGAAGCUGUAGGCAAGGACAUAGCCAAGGCAAAACCAUCAAGAAUGUAAUUCACCAACAGAAACAUUCACUGACCACCCUCGGGGCCUGAAGGUCUUUCCAAAGAGCCUUGCUGCUGAGCACAUGAUGAACUUCAAACAAUAGCGAAGUCAGGAGCCAGGCGCUGAUGACCCCCAGGAGGAAGCUUGCAGAGGAUGAUGGGACAGAGGGGGAUGGGCAGGAGUCUAAGCAGGCGCUCAGGGAGGCCGCUUUCGUCAAGGAUGCUGAAAGAAUGGGGGUCUCAUGGAUUCUGGGAGAGAUGGUCCAAGGCAGAGGGACAGCCAGUGUGGGCCUGGAAAGAUGUGUGCCGCAUGUCUGAGGGGCAGGGGCCAAUGUGGCUGGAGGUAGAUGGGAGAGGAGGACACUAGGGGCUGAGGUCAGAGGGGACACAACUGGAUCUGUGCGAGACCUUGCAUGCCACUGAAAGGGCGCUGGCUGUCACUGUCGUGACCAGAGCCUCUGGGCAGGUCUUCACAGAGGUCAGGCUGACUGCACUUGCGGAUGGAUUGAAUAGCAGUAGUUAGAGGACAGCAUGCAUGGCUCAGGGAGGAUUCCCAGGAUUUGGGAUGCACAGCUGGAAGAAGGGAGGAGCUCCUGAAUGAGGAGUGGGAGGUCCGGGAAGGGCAGCCUUGGUGGGGAGAGACGCCGGGACCUGCAGAGAAACUCCCUGAAAAGAACAGGGCUGAGCCAUCUUUACCCCAGGCUCAGGACCUUCCUUCGCUGUAACUGCCAGGACAAUCCACUGUGCUGUCACUCAGAGAGCGAAACCAGCCUGACUUUGCACCUGUGUCUCCAAGGGAUAAAGGUCAAUGUCACAGCAGACUCCACUCUGAUGCUGUCUUCAAGCCAAAACCUUAAUAUUCAAUGAGAAAUCUGCAUUGAUGAAAUUUUCAUUAAACAAACUUUAUCCCUCUCAC
This 1007-nucleotide long non-coding RNA is filed under the name Homo sapiens (human). RNAcentral's name for it is "HSALNT0268118". The record is from RNAcentral. Lineage: Eukaryota; Metazoa; Chordata; Mammalia; Primates; Hominidae.